ACACAUGCAAGUUGAACGGGAUUUGUAUGGUGCUUGCACCAUGUAAUGAGAGUAGCGCACUGGUGAGUAACACGUGGGAACAUACCUUGAAGUGGGGGACAACAGUUGGAAACGACUGCUAAUACCGCAUAAUCCCUGAGGGGGAAAGAUUUAUCGCUUUAAGAUUGGCCCGCGGAAGAUUAGGUAGUUGGUGGGGUAAAGGCCUACCAAGCCGACGAUCUAUAGCUGGUCUGAGAGGACGAACAGCCGCAUUGGAACUGAGACACGGUCCAGACUCCUACGGGAGGCAGCAGUGAGGAAUAUUGGGCAAUGGAGGAAACUCUGACCCAGCCAUGCCGCGUGAGUGAAGAAGGUUUUCGAAUUGUAAAGCUCUUUCGGAUGGGACGAUGAUGACGGUACCAUCUAAAGAAGCCCCGGCAAACUUCGUGCCAGCAGCCGCGGUAAUACGAAGGGGGCAAGCGUUGUUCGGAAUUACUGGGCGUAAAGGGUGUGUAGGCGGAUUUGUAAGAUAGUGGUGAAAUACCUGAGCUCAACUUAGGAAUUGCCAUUAUAACUAUAGAUCUGGAGUGACAGAGAGGAUAUUGGAAUACCCAGUGUAGAGGUGAAAUUCGUAGAUAUUGGGUAGAACACCAGUGGCGAAGGCGAGUAUCUGGCUGUCAACUGACGCUGAGGCACGAAAGCAUGGGGAUCAAACAGGAUUAGAUACCCUGGUAGUCCAUGCUGUAAACGAUGAACGCUAGUUGUCGGCAAAAGCCGGUGACGCAGUUAACGCGAUA
This 776-nucleotide ribosomal RNA is filed under the name uncultured bacterium. Its description in RNAcentral is "bacterial SSU rRNA". It matches the Rfam family "Bacterial small subunit ribosomal RNA", at positions 51 to 862 of the family's 1533-position model. The record is from RNAcentral.